UAAGUCGAUGGUGAAAGCCUACAGGCUUAACCGUAGAAUUGUCAUCGAUAACUGUUGUUCUUGAGUAUAGUCGGGGGAACUGGAAUGCGUAAUGUAGCGGUGAAAUGCAUAGAUAUUACGCAGAACACCGAUCGCGAAAGCAGCUUCCUAGGCUAUUACUGACACUGAGGCACGAAAGCGUGGGGAGCGAACAGGAUUAGAUACCCUGGUAGUCCACGCCGUAAACGAUGCUCACUCGCUGUUGGCGAUAUAUUGUCAGCAGUUAAGCUAAAGCAUUAAGUGAGCCACCUGGGAAGUACGUCCGCAAGGAUGAAACUCAAAGGAAUUGACGGGGGCCCGCACAACCGGUGGAACAUGUGGUUCAAUUCGAUGAUACGCGAGGAACCUUACCUGGGCUUAAAUGUAGUUUGACUUCCGCCGAAAGGCGGUUUUCCUUCGGGACAAAUUACAAGGUGCUGCACGGCUGUCGUCAGCUCGUGCCGUGAGGUAUCGGGUUAAGUCCCUUAACGAGCGCAACCCCUAUUGUUAGUUACCAACAGGUUAAGCUGGGGACUCUAGCAAAACUGCCAGCGUAAGCUGGAGGAAGGUGGGGAUGACGUCAAGUCAGCAUGGCCCUUAUGUCCAGGGCUACACACGUGUUACAAUGGCCGAUACAAAGGGCAGCCACCACGCGAGUGGGAGCUAAUCCUUAAAAUCGGUCUCAGUUCGGAUCGAAGUCUGCAAUUCGACUUCGUGAAGGUGGAAUCGGUAGUAAUCGCGCAUCAGCAAUGGCGCGGUGAAUACGUUCCCGGGCCUUGUACACACUGCCCGUCAAGCCAUGGAAAUUGGUGUUGCCUGAAGUCCGUAACCAUCCAGGAGCGGCCUAAGGCAAAACUGUA
RNAcentral lists this ribosomal RNA (878 nucleotides) under uncultured organism. Its description in RNAcentral is "bacterial SSU rRNA". It matches the Rfam family "Bacterial small subunit ribosomal RNA", at positions 584 to 1472 of the family's 1533-position model. The record is from RNAcentral.